RNAcentral lists this ribosomal RNA (253 nucleotides) under uncultured bacterium. RNAcentral describes it as "partial 16S ribosomal RNA". It matches the Rfam family "Bacterial small subunit ribosomal RNA", at positions 524 to 776 of the family's 1533-position model. The record is from RNAcentral.
UACAGAGACUGCAAGCGUUAUUCGGAUUCACUGGGCGUAAAGGGUGCGCAGGCGGCCGUGUGUGUCAGGUGUGAAAGCCCGGAGCUUAACUCCGGAAUUGCGCCUGAAACUACAUGGCUAGAGCAUUGGAGAGGGUAGCGGAAUUCACGGUGUAGCAGUGAAAUGCGUAGAUAUUAGGAAGAACACCAGUGGCGAAGGCGGCUCACUGGCCCGGUACUGACGCUCAUGUGCGAAAGCGUGGGGAGCAAACAGG